GAUGAACGCUGACAGAAUGCUUAACACAUGCAAGUCAACUUGAAUUUGGGUUUAUAACUUAGGUUUGGGUGGCGGACGGGUGGGUAACGCGUAAAGAACUUGCCUCACAGCUAGGGACAACAUUUAGAAAUGAAUGCUAAUACCUAAUAUUAUGGUUAUAGGGCAUCCUAUAAUUAUGAAAGCUAAAUGCACUGUGAGAGAGCUUUGCGUCCCAUUAGCUAGUUGGAGAGGUAACAGCUCACCAAGGCGAUGAUGGGUAGCCGGCCUGAGAGGGUGAACGGCCACAAGGGGACUGAGACACGGCCCUUACUCCUACGGGAGGCAGCAGUGGGGAAUAUUGGACAAUGGACCAAGAGUCUGAUCCAGCAAUUCUGUGUGCACGAUGAAGUUUUUCGGAAUGUAAAGUGCUUUCAAUUGGGAAGAAAAAAAUGACGGACCAACAG
This 443-nucleotide ribosomal RNA is filed under the name Fusobacterium sp. oral taxon C10. RNAcentral's name for it is "bacterial SSU rRNA". It matches the Rfam family "Bacterial small subunit ribosomal RNA", at positions 28 to 484 of the family's 1533-position model. Lineage: Bacteria; Fusobacteriati; Fusobacteriota; Fusobacteriia; Fusobacteriales; Fusobacteriaceae. The record is from RNAcentral.